RNAcentral lists this ribosomal RNA (416 nucleotides) under uncultured Planctomycetota bacterium. Its description in RNAcentral is "bacterial SSU rRNA". It matches the Rfam family "Bacterial small subunit ribosomal RNA", at positions 505 to 917 of the family's 1533-position model. The record is from RNAcentral. Lineage: Bacteria; Pseudomonadati; Planctomycetota.
GUGUCAGCCGCCGCGGUAAUACAGAGGUGGCAAGCGUUGUUCGGAAUUAUUGGGCGUAAAGAGCACGUAGGUGGGUUUGUAAGUCAGAUGUGAAAGCCUUCUGUUCAACGGAAGAAUUGCAUCUGAAACUGCGAGUCUUGAGUGUAGGAGGGGAGAAUGGAACUUCUGGUGGAGCGGUGAAAUGCGUAGAUAUCAGAAGGAACGCCGGCGGCGAAAGCGAUUCUCUGGCCUAUUACUGACACUCAGUGUGCGAAAGCUAGGGGAGCAAACGGGAUUAGAUACCCCGGUAGUCCUAGCCGUAAACGAUGGGCACUAAGUAGAGGGAAUUACCGAUGUUCUCUCUGCCGUAGCUAACGCAUUAAGUGCCCCGCCUGGGGAGUACGGCCGCAAGGCUAAAACUUAAAUAAAUUGGGCGG